UAAACUAAAGCUUUUAAGAAGCAUUAAACUUUUAAUUUAAUGAACUUGUAUGAUGCGCAAGUAGUUUUU
This 69-nucleotide transfer RNA is filed under the name Mytilus galloprovincialis (Mediterranean mussel). RNAcentral describes it as "tRNA-Lys". The record is from RNAcentral. Lineage: Eukaryota; Metazoa; Mollusca; Bivalvia; Mytilida; Mytilidae.